CAACAGGGAUUGCCCUAGUAACGGCGAGUGAAGCGGCAACAGCUCAAAUUUGAAAUCUGGCUCUCGGGCCCGAGUUGUAAUUUGUAGAGGAUGCUUUUGGUGCGGUGCCUUCCGAGUUCCCUGGAACGGGACGCCAUAGAGGGUGAGAGCCCCGUCUGGUUGGAUGCCAAUCCUCUGUAAAGCUCCUUCGACGAGUCGAGUAGUUUGGGAAUGCUGCUCUAAAUGGGAGGUAUAUGUCUUCUAAAGCUAAAUACCGGCCAGAGACCGAUAGCGCACAAGUAGAGUGAUCGAAAGAUGAAAAGAACUUUGAAAAGAGAGUUAAAAAGUACGUGAAAUUGUUGAAAGGGAAGCGCUUGUGACCAGACUUGGGCUUGGUUGAUCAUCCAGGGUUCUCCCUGGUGCACUCUUCCGGCUCAGGCCAGCAUCAGUUCGCCGCGGGGGACAAAGACGCCGGGAAUGUGGCUCCCUCCGGGGAGUGUUAUAGCCCAGCGUGUAAUACCCUGAGGCGGACUGAGGUUCGCGCAUUCGCAAGGAU
RNAcentral lists this ribosomal RNA (535 nucleotides) under Fusarium venezuelense. RNAcentral's name for it is "partial large subunit ribosomal RNA". It matches the Rfam family "Eukaryotic large subunit ribosomal RNA", at positions 66 to 624 of the family's 3401-position model. Lineage: Eukaryota; Fungi; Ascomycota; Sordariomycetes; Hypocreales; Nectriaceae. The record is from RNAcentral.